RNAcentral lists this ribosomal RNA (253 nucleotides) under uncultured bacterium. Its description in RNAcentral is "partial 16S ribosomal RNA". It matches the Rfam family "Bacterial small subunit ribosomal RNA", at positions 524 to 776 of the family's 1533-position model. The record is from RNAcentral.
UACGUAGGCAGCAAGCGUUGUUCGGAGUUACUGGGCGUAAAGAGUGCGUAGGUGGUGCCCUAAGUCUGUUGUGAAAUCUCCCGGCUUAACUGGGAGGGUGCGGUGGAAACUGGGGUGCUUGAGUAUGGGAGAGGUAAGCGGAAUUCCUGGUGUAGCGGUGAAAUGCGUAGAUAUCAGGAGGAACACCUGCGGUGUAGACGGCUUACUGGACCAUAACUGACGCUGAGGCACGAAAGCGUGGGUAGCAAACAGG